This 224-nucleotide long non-coding RNA is filed under the name Gossypium barbadense (sea-island cotton). Its description in RNAcentral is "long non-coding RNA (GBAR_LNC014405)". Lineage: Eukaryota; Viridiplantae; Streptophyta; Magnoliopsida; Malvales; Malvaceae. The record is from RNAcentral.
AAAAAACAAAGAGUACAAAGAUGUAGAUAAAAAACUAAACCCCAAAACUCGAAAUAAGAACCCUCAAAACAUAAACACAAAAUUCUCUGAAAGCUUGUAAAAGCUAAUACCUAAAUGUAUAAUGGGUUUAAUCUUUCUAGGGUAGAAAAGUGUCUUAUUUAUAAGCUAAAUUUGUAGGUAAAAAAUACUAAAAAUAAUCUACACUAAUCAAAGUUUGACUAAAA